GUGGAGGAAUUUUUUUUUCUUCUCCUAAGAUCUAAAUCUAGUAGCAAAAGACAAAAGAAUAACAUCAAUUUCUUCUUCUAAAAAACAUUCCGGCAACUUUACCCAUUCUUCUCCACCUCAAAACAACUCUUCUUUUUUACAUAAAACAACCCAUCUAAUAUCUUCAACUAUCGCCCAACUCAGUCGAUUUUAAUCCUUCGAGGUUGUUGAUUCUAGUUCGAGUUUUCAGGUCUAUAACUCGACUGAAGAUCACUGUGUGUGGAGUUUCCCUUUCUCUGUAAUCGUUUGCAAUUUCGAGCAAUAAAGAUUUGAGGCGUCUGGAGGCCGAAUCCUGAGGAAAAUAUUUAUUUGAGAAGAUAAUUUGCAUGGUUUGAGAUCUAGGUACUUUCGAAUACGGCUACUGCUAGAUCUCCGGAGUUUUAUCUGUUGGAGACUAUUAAGGUCGCUGCCUUGGCGUCCCCAAACCUUGACUCUCUUUCCUUUCAGCUAUUUGUAUUGUUCUAAAUUUCUAGACAAUAUUUUUAUCAGU
Long non-coding RNA from Nicotiana tabacum (common tobacco), 529 nucleotides. RefSeq lists it as uncharacterized. The record is from RefSeq and is a predicted model, not a curated record. NCBI's taxonomy places the organism in Eukaryota, Viridiplantae, Streptophyta, Magnoliopsida, Solanales, Solanaceae.